CCUACGGGGUGCUGCAGUGGGGAAUAUUGGACAAUGGGCGAAAGCCUGAUCCAGCCAUGCCGCGUGUGUGAAGAAGGCCUUCGGGUUGUAAGGCACUUUCAGUGGGGAAGAAAGCCUUGGGGCUAAUACCCUCGAGGAAGGACAUCACCCACAGAAGAAGCACCGGCUAACUCCGUGCCAGCAGCCGCGGUAAUACGGAGGGUGCGAGCGUUAAUCGGAAUUACUGGGCGUAAAGCGCGCGUAGGCGGUCUGAUAAGCCGGUUGUGAAAGCCCCGGGCUCAACCUGGGAACGGCAUCCGGAACUGUCAGGCUAGAGUGCAGGAGAGGAAGGUAGAAUUCCCGGUGUAGCGGUGAAAUGCGUAGAGAUCGGGAGGAAUACCAGUGGCGAAGGCGGCCUUCUGGACUGACACUGACGCUGAGGUGCGAAAGCGUGGGUAGCAAACAGGAUUAGAUACCCCUGUAGUC
Molecule: ribosomal RNA, 465 nt
Filed under: Vreelandella stevensii
Lineage: Bacteria; Pseudomonadati; Pseudomonadota; Gammaproteobacteria; Oceanospirillales; Halomonadaceae
Description: partial 16S ribosomal RNA
Rfam family: Bacterial small subunit ribosomal RNA
Source: RNAcentral